CCUACGGGUGGCAGCAGUGAGGAAUAUUGGUCAAUGGGCUUACGCCUGAACCAGCCAAGUCGCGUGAGGGAAGACUGCUCUAUGGGUUGUAAACCUCUUUUGGCAGGGAGAAACGCCGACUACGUGUAGCCGGACUGAGAGUACCUGAAGAAAAAGCAUCGGCUAACUCCGUGCCAGCAGCCGCGGUAAUACGGAGGAUACGAGGGUUAUCCGGUUUUAUUGGGUUAAAAGGGUGCGUAGGCGGAAUGCCAAGUCAGCGGGAAAAUCGCGGGGCUCAACCUCGAUCCGCCGUUGAAACUGGCGUUCUUGAGUGGGCGAGAGGUAUGCGGAAUGCGUGGUGUAGCGGUGAAAUGCAUAGAUAUCACGCAGAACUCCGGUUGCGAAGGCAGCAUACCGGCGCCCAACUGACGCUGAAGCACGAAAGCGUGGGUAGCGAACAGGAUUAGAUACCCCUGUAGUC
Molecule: ribosomal RNA, 460 nt
Filed under: uncultured bacterium
Lineage: Bacteria
Description: partial 16S ribosomal RNA
Rfam family: Bacterial small subunit ribosomal RNA
Source: RNAcentral